RNAcentral lists this ribosomal RNA (253 nucleotides) under uncultured bacterium. RNAcentral's name for it is "partial 16S ribosomal RNA". It matches the Rfam family "Bacterial small subunit ribosomal RNA", at positions 524 to 776 of the family's 1533-position model. The record is from RNAcentral.
UACGUAGGUGGCAAGCGUUGUCCGGAUUUACUGGGUGUAAAGCGCGUGUAGGCGGGGCGUUAAGUCAGAUGUGAAAGCCCAGGGCUCAACUCUGGGAGUGCAUUUGAAACUAAAUGACUUGAGUAUUGGAGAGGGAAGUGGAAUUCCUGGUGUAGCGGUGAAAUGCGUAGAGAUUAGGAGGAACACCGGUGGCGAAGGCGACUUCCUGGACCAAUACUGACGCUGAGGCGCGAAGGCGUGGGGAGCAAACAGG